This 987-nucleotide long non-coding RNA is filed under the name Cricetulus griseus (Chinese hamster). Its description in RNAcentral is "lncRNA (ENSCGRG00000025215.1)". The record is from RNAcentral. Lineage: Eukaryota; Metazoa; Chordata; Mammalia; Rodentia; Cricetidae.
AGAAAGGCCAGUAGGACAUGUUAGUGUCAUUUGAAUCUGGAAACAGUCUGGGAAUAAAGUGAGAACUCAUGAUUUUUUCCGGUUUAAUAUUUCUGUCUAGAUGAGCCAGAAUCCUCAGAAAUGACUUCCACAAAGACUGACUCCAAAAGUGACACUGGAAACUCAACUAUGCCCAACCCUCUUCCUGCCGAAUUUGAGGCAGCUGGCCCUGGAUUCAUCUCUUCACCGGUUCCCCAGGAUAGAGGCCCCAGAAGCCUUCCCUUUGCAGGGCAUCCAAGAAGUCCCAUUAUGAGAAGGCCACCCCCAUUCCCAGCACCUCCUCCAGGAAACAUGCAUGCAGAUCCGCCAGGUUAUUUAACACCAAGGCACUUCAAUGGCCCAUAUUUACUGCCUGCAUGUCCUCCAGAUCGUUUUCAUCCAAGGGACUUUCCUGGCCCACCUUUCCUGCCAUACCCAGUUGAGCCAGAAUCCUUAGAAAUGACAACCAUGAAGAAUGACAGAAAAAGUGACCCUGAAAAGUCAACUCUGCCCAACACUCCUCCUCCUGAAUUUGAGGCAGCUGGCAAUGGCUUCAUCUCUCCACCGUUUCCCCAGGAUAGAGGCCCCAGAGGCCCUCUCUUUGCAGGGGAUGCAAGAAGCCCUGUUAUGAGUAGGCCACCCCCAUUUCCUCCACCUCCUCCAGGAAACAUGCAUGCAGGGCCUCCAGGUUAUUUUACAUCAAGGGAUUUCGCUGGCCCACCCUUCCCACCUGCAGGUCCUCCAGAUUAUUUUUCUCAGAGGGACUUCGCUGGGCCACCUUUCCUGCCAUACCCAGGCCAACCAUAUUCUGAUGCUGCUCUAAAAAGGCAAUCUAGACAUCAUUCUAAGUCUGGUAGACUCCGUGGACGAGAACAACCCAGAAAGUAUAUGCCUCCUUUACUUGAAGUGGAUGAGCCAUUAUCCCCAGAAAUGACUUCCACGAAGAAUAACAGAAAAAGUGACCCUGGA